This 466-nucleotide ribosomal RNA is filed under the name uncultured bacterium. RNAcentral describes it as "partial 16S ribosomal RNA". It matches the Rfam family "Bacterial small subunit ribosomal RNA", at positions 28 to 507 of the family's 1533-position model. The record is from RNAcentral.
GAUGAACGCUGGCGGCGUGCUUAACACAUGCAAGUCGAACGGAAAGGCUCCUGCUUGCAGGGGUACUCGAGUGGCGAACGGGUGAGUAACACGUGGGUGAUCUGCCCUGCACUUCGGGAUAAGCCUGGGAAACUGGGUCUAAUACCGGAUAGGACCAUGGGUUGGAUGGCAUGGUGGAGAGAUUUUUCGGUGUGGGAUGGGCUCGCGGCCUAUCAGCUUGUUGGUGGGGUAGUGGCCUACCAAGGCGUCGACGGGUAGCCGGCCUGAGAGGGUGUACGGCCACAUUGGGACUGAGAUACGGCCCAGACUCCUACGGGAGGCAGCAGUGGGGAAUAUUGCACAAUGGGCGGAAGCCUGAUGCAGCGACGCCGCGUGGGGGAUGACGGCCUUCGGGUUGUAAACCGCUUUCGCUUGGGACGAAGCGCAAGUGACGGUACCUGGAGAAGAAGCACCGGCUAACUACGUG